ACGAUGAUCCCAGCUUGCUGGGGGAUUAGUGGCGAACGGGUGAGUAACACGUGAGUAACCUGCCCUUGACUCUGGGAUAAGCCUGGGAAACUGGGUCUAAUACCGGAUACGACCAUCUGGCGCAUGUCAUGGUGGUGGAAAGCUUUUGUGGUUUUGGAUGGACUCGCGGCCUAUCAGCUUGUUGGUGGGGUAAUGGCCUACCAAGGCGACGACGGGUAGCCGGCCUGAGAGGGUGACCGGCCACACUGGGACUGAGACACGGCCCAGACUCCUACGGGAGGCAGCAGUGGGGAAUAUUGCACAAUGGGCGCAAGCCUGAUGCAGCGACGCCGCGUGAGGGAUGACGGCCUUCGGGUUGUAAACCUCUUUCAGUAGGGAAGAAGCGAAAGUGACGGUACCUGCAGAAGAAGCGCCGGCUAACUACGUGCCAGCAGCCGCGGUAAUACGUAGGGCGCAAGCGUUAUCCGGAAUUAUUGGGCGUAAAGAGCUCGUAGGCGGUUUGUCGCGUCUGCUGUGAAAGACCGGGGCUCAACUCCGGUUCUGCAGUGGGUACGGGCAGACUAGAGUGCAGUAGGGGAGACUGGAAUUCCUGGUGUAGCGGUGAAAUGCGCAGAUAUCAGGAGGAACACCGAUGGCGAAGGCAGGUCUCUGGGCUGUAACUGACGCUGAGGAGCGAAAGCAUGGGGAGCGAACAGGAUUAGAUACCCUGGUAGUCCAUGCCGUAAACGUUGGGCACUAGGUGUGGGGGACAUUCCACGUUUUCCGCGCCGUAGCUAACGCAUUAAGUGCCCCGCCUGGGG
RNAcentral lists this ribosomal RNA (800 nucleotides) under Novosphingobium sp. 9U. RNAcentral's name for it is "bacterial SSU rRNA". It matches the Rfam family "Bacterial small subunit ribosomal RNA", at positions 66 to 878 of the family's 1533-position model. Lineage: Bacteria; Pseudomonadati; Pseudomonadota; Alphaproteobacteria; Sphingomonadales; Sphingomonadaceae. The record is from RNAcentral.